This 378-nucleotide ribosomal RNA is filed under the name uncultured bacterium. RNAcentral's name for it is "bacterial SSU rRNA". It matches the Rfam family "Bacterial small subunit ribosomal RNA", at positions 790 to 1167 of the family's 1533-position model. The record is from RNAcentral.
GUAGUCCACGCCGUAAACGAUGAGUGCUAGGUGUCAGGGGUAUCGACCCCCCUGGUGCCGCAGCUAACGCAAUAAGCACUCCGCCUGGGGAGUACGGCCGCAAGGUUGAAACUCAAAGGAAUUGACGGGGGCCCGCACAAGCGGUGGAGCAUGUGCAUUAAUUCGUCACUAACCGAAGAACCUUACCAGGGUUUGACAUCUCCGGACAGUCCGUGAAAGCGGAUCUUCCCCGCAAGGGGACUGGAAGACAGGUGUUGCAUGGUUGUCGUCAGCUCGUGUCGUGAGAUGUUGGGUUAAGUCCCGCAACGAGCGCAACCCUCACCCAAUGUUGCCAGCGUAAAGUCGGGAACUCUUUGGGAACUGCCCGUGUAAGCGGGA